CCCCUCCCCCUAUGACCUCCUGCAAGACCCAGAACCAGCCCCCACGUCCCCCUCUCGCCGGAGCCCCCAGAGCCCCAGCACUGGGUGGGGGUGCAUGUCGGCCCGAUCGCAGUCCCCAGAACCCCCAAAUGGAGGCCAAGGCUGGAGGGUGAUAGGAAGAGGAUCGGCCAGGCGUGGAGGGGGCCCCUGGCGCCGUGCGCGGGUUGUUACCUUCUGUGACCCCCACAACCUGCUCCCAGAUGGGUGUUGGUAAGUGCCUCUGAUUUUUGUUUCCACAAACAGGGAUACUGAGGCCAGUGCCGAAUGGGAGGUGAAUAUAUAUAUUUUUUUAAUGCCUUGCGGGGGGUGGGGGGGGGAUGUCAAGUCUAUGGUUUAAAUAGAGUUAAAAACUCUCAAAGAAAAAAACAGCCCUGUUCUGUUCUGCUUCCCACAUCAGAGCAAUCUCCGCCCCCAGUCCAACUCACUUCCCUGGGGCCACAUCAAGCCAGGUUUUUCCACCAGCCAAAGACCUCAUCAGCCAAACAGUGCUGGAUCUCCCAGACUGGCAACAACCUCUGUUUAUCCACCCCUUUCUUCACUCCCCCUCUGGGCUGGAGGGUUGGUCACUUUUUUCUUUCCCAGGACCCUGCUGUCCUCUUCCUGCUCUGCAGAGAGGAUAUCUUUCCCAGGAAGCCUGGGGGACACCCAGUGCCUUCUUUUAGCUCCUUCAUGCAUGCUUUGAGAGGUUCACUCACCUUUACAGGAAUGGGUGUGUGAUCAAGCCCAGAACCCUGGGGGAAGAGGGGCAGUCACAUCAUCUGUUCUCCCUGCCCCAACCCAUAGCUGAACUCCCACAAAGCUGGAGAGUAAGUUUUUCAUUCCCAUGCACACCCCUCACAACCUUUUAAGUUCACAGCUAUCUAUCUAGAAAGCCACAUUCUUAGUUAGGAGCCCAACACCUUAAAGAUCAAUUCUUCAUCUGGUCUCCACACCCCUAAGCACAGUGUUCCUCAGGAAAGUGGGGGAGGGGAGGCAUGCCUGUGAAGGAAUAUGGCUUCAAUAAGUUACUUCCUAUACAAUGACAGCAACGGGAGUAAAUACACAAGAUCUUUUUUAUUAAUUAAUAAAACAAAAAAGAUGAAAAACAGAAGCAACAAAUGAA
This is a long non-coding RNA of Leopardus geoffroyi (Geoffroy's cat), 1141 nucleotides long. RefSeq lists it as uncharacterized. Lineage: Eukaryota; Metazoa; Chordata; Mammalia; Carnivora; Felidae. The transcript is spliced from 2 exons. The record is from RefSeq and is a predicted model, not a curated record.